RNAcentral lists this long non-coding RNA (238 nucleotides) under Gallus gallus (chicken). Lineage: Eukaryota; Metazoa; Chordata; Aves; Galliformes; Phasianidae. The record is from RNAcentral.
GAGGGCACCAAAUACUUCUUCUUGUCCAGGUCUCCAAUGCGAGCCUUGGGGGCCUUCUCCACUAUCACCGGGACGCGGUCCGGGUAUUUCUUGCGGAUCUUCUCCCCUUCGCAGCGCCGUUUCUCGAACGGGUGCUCCUCCUUAUAGAGGAACUUCAUGGCCGGGCCGGACCGGGCCGAACCGGGACGCUCCGAACCGGAAGCGGAGCGGAACUGAGGGCGCGGCCGCGCACUUCCGG